RNAcentral lists this ribosomal RNA (1461 nucleotides) under uncultured bacterium. RNAcentral's name for it is "16S ribosomal RNA". It matches the Rfam family "Bacterial small subunit ribosomal RNA". The record is from RNAcentral.
AGAGUUUGAUCCUGCCUCAGGAUGAACGCUGGCGGCGUGCCUAACACAUGCAAGUCGAACGAAGACUGCGCGGCGGAACUCUCCGGAGGGAAGAUGCGCAGGACUGAGUGGCGGACGGGUGAGUAACGCGUGGGUAACCUGCCCUGUACAGGGGGACAACAGCUGGAAACGGCUGCUAAUACCGCAUAAGCCUACAGUGCCGCAUGGUACAGCAGGAAAAACUCCGGUGGUACAGGAUGGGCCCGCGUCUGAUUAGUUAGUUGGCAGGGUAACGGCCUACCAAGACAACGAUCAGUAGCCGGCUUGAGAGAGUGGACGGCCACAUUGGGACUGAGACACGGCCCAAACUCCUACGGGAGGCAGCAGUGGGGAAUAUUGCACAAUGGGGGGAACCCUGAUGCAGCAACGCCGCGUGAGUGAAGAAGUAUUUCGGUAUGUAAAGCUCUAUCAGCAGGGAAGAAAAUGACGGUACCUGACUAAGAAGCUCCGGCUAAAUACGUGCCAGCAGCCGCGGUAAUACGUAUGGAGCAAGCGUUAUCCGGAUUUACUGGGUGUAAAGGGAGCGCAGGCGGUACGGCAAGUCCGAUGUGAAAGCCCGGGGCUCAACCCCGGGACUGCAUUGGAAACUGCCGCACUAGAGUGCCGGAGAGGUAAGUGGAAUUCCUAGUGUAGCGGUGAAAUGCGUAGAUAUUAGGAGGAACACCAGUGGCGAAGGCGGCUUACUGGACGGUAACUGACGCUGAGGCUCGAAAGCGUGGGGAGCCCUCAAGGUUAGAUACCCUGUAGUCCACGCCGUAAAGGACCCAGGUGUGAGGUCGGGGCACAACGUGCUUUGGUGCCGCAGCAAAUGCAUUAUAGUAUUCCUCCUGGGGAGUAGGUUUGCAAGAAUAAAACUCAAAGGAAUUGACGGGGCUCCGCACAAGCGGGUGGAGCAUGUGGUUUUAUUUCGAAGCAACGCGAAGAACCUUACCAGUCCUUGACGUCCUGAUGGCAGCCCCGUAACGGGGGAAUUCCUUCGGGACAGCAGAGACAGGUGGUGCAUGGUUGUCGUCAGCUCGUGUCGUGAGAUGUUGGGUUAAGUCACGCAACGAGCGCAACCCCUAUUGCCAGUAACCAGCAUUUCGGAUGGGGACUCUGGUGAGACUGCCGGGGAUAACCCGGAGGAAGGUGGGGACGACGUCAAAUCAUCAUGCCCCUUAUGGGCUGGGCUACACACGUGCUACAAUGGUGCUGACAGAGUGAGGCGAACCUGCGAAGGGGAGCAAAGCACAAAAAAGGCACCUCAGUUCGGAUUGUAGUCUGCAACUCGACUACAUGAAGCUGGAAUCGCUAGUAAUCGCAGAUCAGAAUGCUGCGGUGAAUACGUUCCCGGGUCUUGUACACACCGCCCGUCACACCAUGGGAGUUGGGAAUGCCCGAAGUCAGUGACCCAAACGCAAGGAGGGAGCUGCCGAAGGCAGG